GUGCUCGCUUCAGCAACGCACACCCUAAACUUGGAACGAUACAGAGAAGAUUAGUGCCCCCCCCAGUCCCCAUGCAAGGAUGACAUGCAAAUUUGUUCCAUAUUUUA
RNAcentral lists this small nuclear RNA (107 nucleotides) under Mus spretus (western wild mouse). The record is from RNAcentral. Lineage: Eukaryota; Metazoa; Chordata; Mammalia; Rodentia; Muridae.